Molecule: non-coding RNA, 30 nt
Filed under: Mus musculus (house mouse)
Lineage: Eukaryota; Metazoa; Chordata; Mammalia; Rodentia; Muridae
Source: RNAcentral
UCAAAUGUUUUCAUUUUCUUCAUCAGUUGC